CGGCGGUCAUAGCGUGGGGGAAACGCCCGGUUCCAUUCCGAACCCGGAAGCUAAGGCCCACAGCGCCGAUGGUACUGCAGGUUGGGGUCAUGGGGUCCUUCGGCGGGAGGGGCGGCGCGGUGAUUGA
This 127-nucleotide ribosomal RNA is filed under the name Micrococcus luteus. Lineage: Bacteria; Bacillati; Actinomycetota; Actinomycetes; Micrococcales; Micrococcaceae. The record is from RNAcentral. RNAcentral also lists the same sequence under 1 other name.